This 860-nucleotide ribosomal RNA is filed under the name Chaetomium globosum. RNAcentral's name for it is "LSU rRNA". It matches the Rfam family "Eukaryotic large subunit ribosomal RNA", at positions 74 to 967 of the family's 3401-position model. Lineage: Eukaryota; Fungi; Ascomycota; Sordariomycetes; Sordariales; Chaetomiaceae. The record is from RNAcentral.
AUUGCCCUAGUAACGGCGAGUGAAGCGGCAACAGCUCAAAUUUGAAAUCUGGCUUCGGCCCGAGUUGUAAUUUGCAGAGGAAGCUUUAGGCGCGGCACCUUCUGAGUCCCCUGGAACGGGGCGCCAUAGAGGGUGAGAGCCCCGUAUAGUUGGAUGCCUAGCCUGUGUAAAGCUCCUUCGACGAGUCGAGUAGUUUGGGAAUGCUGCUCAAAAUGGGAGGUAAAUUUCUUCUAAAGCUAAAUACCGGCCAGAGACCGAUAGCGCACAAGUAGAGUGAUCGAAAGAUGAAAAGCACUUUGAAAAGAGGGUUAAAUAGCACGUGAAAUUGUUGAAAGGGAAGCGCUUGUGACCAGACUUGCGCCGGGCGGAUCAUCCGGUGUUCUCACCGGUGCACUCCGCCCGGCUCAGGCCAGCAUCGGUUCUCGCGGGGGGAUAAAGGUCCUGGGAACGUAGCUCCUCCGGGAGUGUUAUAGCCCGGGGCGUAAUGCCCUCGCGGGGACCGAGGUUCGCGCAUCUGCAAGGAUGCUGGCGUAAUGGUCAUCAGCGACCCGUCUUGAAACACGGACCAAGGAGUCAAGGUUUUGCGCGAGUGUUUGGGUGUAAAACCCGCACGCGUAAUGAAAGUGAACGUAGGUGAGAGCUUCGGCGCAUCAUCGACCGAUCCUGAUGUUUUCGGAUGGAUUUGAGUAGGAGCGUUAAGCCUUGGACCCGAAAGAUGGUGAACUAUGCUUGGAUAGGGUGAAGCCAGAGGAAACUCUGGUGGAGGCUCGCAGCGGUUCUGACGUGCAAAUCGAUCGUCAAAUCUGAGCAUGGGGGCGAAAGACUAAUCGAACCAUCUAGUAGCUGGUUACCGCCGAAGU